GCUGGGAGCGGUGGCGCACGCCUGAGAUCCCAGCAGCUUGGGAAGCUGAGGCAGGAGGAUCUCGAGUUCAAAGCCAGCCUCUGUGAGACCCUGUCUCUA
Molecule: small RNA, 99 nt
Filed under: Marmota monax (woodchuck)
Lineage: Eukaryota; Metazoa; Chordata; Mammalia; Rodentia; Sciuridae
Source: RNAcentral